Molecule: ribosomal RNA, 391 nt
Filed under: uncultured bacterium
Lineage: Bacteria
Description: partial 16S ribosomal RNA
Rfam family: Bacterial small subunit ribosomal RNA
Source: RNAcentral
UACGGAGGAUCCGAGCGUUAUCCGGAUUUAUUGGGUUUAAAGGGUGCGCAGGCGGCCAUUUAAGUCAGGGGUUAAAUCGUGGGGCUCAACCCCAUUCUGCCGUUGAUACUGGGUGGCUUGAUUGCGGUCGAGGUUGGCGGAAUUCGUUGUGUAGCGGUGAAAUGCAUAGAUAUGACGAAGAACACCGAUUGCGUAGGCAGCUGACCAGACCGCAAAUGACGCUCAUGCACGAAAGUGCGGGGAUCGAACAGGAUUAGAUACCCUGGUAGUCCGCACAGUAAACGAUGAAUACUUGUUUUCGGCGAUAUAAUGUCGGAGGCAAAGCGAAAGCGAUAAGUAUUCCACCUGGGGAGUACGCCGGCAACGGUGAAACUCAAAUGAAUUGGCGGGG